This 253-nucleotide ribosomal RNA is filed under the name uncultured bacterium. RNAcentral's name for it is "partial 16S ribosomal RNA". It matches the Rfam family "Bacterial small subunit ribosomal RNA", at positions 524 to 776 of the family's 1533-position model. The record is from RNAcentral.
UACGUAGGGGGCUAGCGUUGUCCGGAUUUAUUGGGCGUAAAGGGCGCGUAGGCGGCCCGGUAAGUCAAAGGUGAAAUCCCUCGGCUCAACUGAGGAACUGCCUUUGAAACUGUCGGGCUUGAGGCCGGGAGGGGGUAGCGGAAUUCCCAGUGUAGCGGUGAAAUGCGUAGAUACUGGGAGGAACACCAGUGGCGAAGGCGGCUACCUGGACCGGUUCUGACGCUGAUGCGCGAAAGCGUGGGGAGCAAACAGG